UACGGAGGGUGCAAGCGUUGUUCGGAAUUACUGGGCGUAAAGCGGGUGUAGGCGGCCUCGCAAGUCAGAUGUGAAAUCCCUGGGCCCAACCCAGGAACUGCAUUUGAUACUGCUUGGCUCGAGUCCCGGAGAGGAUGGCGGAAUUCCAGGUGUAGAGGUGAAAUUCGUAGAUAUCUGGAGGAACACCAGCGGCGAAGGCGGCCAUCUGGACGGUGACUGACGCUCAGACCCGAAAGCGUGGGGAGCAAACAGG
RNAcentral lists this ribosomal RNA (253 nucleotides) under uncultured bacterium. Its description in RNAcentral is "partial 16S ribosomal RNA". It matches the Rfam family "Bacterial small subunit ribosomal RNA", at positions 524 to 776 of the family's 1533-position model. The record is from RNAcentral.